RNAcentral lists this ribosomal RNA (518 nucleotides) under uncultured bacterium. Its description in RNAcentral is "bacterial SSU rRNA". It matches the Rfam family "Bacterial small subunit ribosomal RNA", at positions 777 to 1295 of the family's 1533-position model. The record is from RNAcentral.
AAUAGAUACCCUGGUAGUCCACGCCGUAAACGGUGGGCGCUAGGUGUGGGGCACUUUCCACGUGCUCUGUGCCGCAGCUAACGCAUUAAGCGCCCCGCCUGGGGAGUACGGCCGCAAGGCUAAAACUCAAAGGAAUUGACGGGGGCCCGCACAAGCGGCGGAGCAUGCGGCUUAAUUCGAAGCAACGCGAAGAACCUUACCAAGGCUUGACAUAUAGGGAAAUCUCAUAGAGAUAUGAGGUCCGCAAGGGCCCUAUACAGGUGGUGCAUGGUUGUCGUCAGCUCGUGUCGUGAGAUGUUGGGUUAAGUCCCGCAACGAGCGCAACCCUCGUUCUAUGUUGCCAGCACGUAAUGGUGGGGACUCAUAGGAGACUGCCGGGGUCAACUCGGAGGAAGGUGGGGAUGACGUCAAAUCAUCAUGCCCCUUAUGUCUUGGGCUGCACGCAUGCUACAAUGGAUGGUACAGAGGGCUGCGAUACCGUAAGGUGGAGCGAAUCCCACAAAGCCAUUCUCAGGUUC